Molecule: long non-coding RNA, 988 nt
Organism: Oncorhynchus tshawytscha (Chinook salmon)
Lineage: Eukaryota; Metazoa; Chordata; Actinopteri; Salmoniformes; Salmonidae
Exons: 3
Source: RefSeq, a predicted model, not a curated record
CUGAACCCAUGUGGAUCUGAAAAAACUGAAUAUCUUUAUUUGGGCAAGGGUUCAUGUCCUGACAUGUGUAAACCCUUGGCUGGGCUGCAUUAACUUAAUAAUACAAUGGGAAAUGGCUUAAUAGUUGUAUUAGCUCCUGGAUAACACUAUUAAAUACAAUUUUAGACUGAAGAGAGCGGAAGGAAUGCAAUUGAUACUUGCGAGUGCUAACCAAAUUCAUCCGAUGGAACUCAACACCCAGCCUACCCCAGACUCGCCCCCUGGCAGGUCCCCCUGCUGUACAGGUUGCAGCAUCUCAGGUGGCAGCUGUUGUCACUGAGCCUGAUUCCAACCAGGUAGAGGAGGUCCCCACUCCCCCACUGACCCCCAGGUGGAGCCCAUCGAGGCGGCCAAGCCCUAAGACAAAUCCCCUUCAUCCUUCACUCCAGCCACUUGGGGCAGAUUAUAUGGGCAAGAGUGUGGGUCUUAUUCUGAAUUCCAAAUCGAGCCCUAGCCCCUAUCUCCGUAGGCUCCUCUAUAGAUCAAACAAUUAGAUAGGUAGGUGGUAGAAAUUUACCCAGCCUACCAGGAGGCUUACAUACUGUUAAAAUCUUAUACAGAUCUAUAGGAAUGUCAAGGGGUAUAGGGGCAGGGGGUUGAUUUAAAAUUCAAUUUUUUUGCAAAAUGUUGUAGUGACCAGCAGGUCAAAGUCCCAUAAAUGACAUAACUGUUUUGCCCUAAAUGGAGGCACUCAAACCUUUAUUGCCUCAGUAAUUAUUCAACUAUAGAAAUGGGAAGAAAAUAUAAAUUGUAACCAAUAUCAAUUUGUUAGUUUUUUUUGUUGUCUAGUUUUGCAAAUAAAUGUAUUUAAGUGAAUGACAUCACAACUCUAAUCACUUACCAAGCUAACCAAGCAAUGAUAUUACACGCCAUCAAACCCUUAUGAUUGCAUUCCCUGAUCUGCAUGGAAAGUAUACAGGUAAUUGCCAAAAUAAAAGUAACAAAUCAA